UACGUAGGGGGCUAGCGUUGUCCGGAUUUAUUGGGCGUAAAGAGCGUGUAGGCGGCCAGGUAGGUCUGGUGUGAAAACCCGAGGCUUAACCUCGAGAUGUCAUCGGAAACCAUUUGGCUAGAGUCCGGAAGAGGAAAGUGGAAUUCCUGGUGUAGCGGUGAAAUGCGCAGAUAUCAGGAAGAACACCAAUGGCGAAAGCAGCUUUCUGGGACGGUACUGACGCUGAGGAGCGAAAGCGUGGGGAGCGAACAGG
RNAcentral lists this ribosomal RNA (253 nucleotides) under uncultured bacterium. Its description in RNAcentral is "partial 16S ribosomal RNA". It matches the Rfam family "Bacterial small subunit ribosomal RNA", at positions 524 to 776 of the family's 1533-position model. The record is from RNAcentral.